RNAcentral lists this long non-coding RNA (7110 nucleotides) under Cucumis sativus (cucumber). RNAcentral describes it as "long non-coding RNA (CSAT_LNC000460)". Lineage: Eukaryota; Viridiplantae; Streptophyta; Magnoliopsida; Cucurbitales; Cucurbitaceae. The record is from RNAcentral.
AGAUGUUGAUCGAAGAAGAGGUGGAGGAAGAACUACUACUACAAAUGGUGAAGGAAUUUAAAACUUGUCCUUUCACUGAGCUUUUUUAGGGAUGACCUCUUCUUAAUACUUGUUCAUGGUACUGUUGGAGGUACUUAUAGACAUAAUUAGGCGGUAAAUUAAUUACACUAUGAUGAAUAUUCAUUCUUCCUUUGCUUGCACAUUCGUCCUUGCCUACAAAUAUUAGCGCAUAAAGUAGCUGUUAUUUGUCACAUCGACUUCUUCAACUACAACUCUUGUCUUUAAGCGAAUUAUCUUCCAUAAUGAUUGAUCGCAUCUUGCCUUACGAAUCACUAGACAACUUCUUAUCAUGGAGUUCUUGCAUUAUCUUCGCUGCAUUUCUUCUUUUUCGUCAUCCUGCAUAUAAAAAUGCUUAAAAACAUAGUUAAUUGAUGUAAUGACUUAUGUAAGAUGCAUUAUCUUAAUAUUAUAAAUUUGCACUAAAAUUUAUGCAUUUUGAUCAUUUAUCUCACUUUUUGACUCCACUGUUUUACCUAAAGGAUCACAAUAACUUGUAUUUCUAUAAAUUGUCAUCUUCUUUCAUCUCACAAUAACUUGUAUUUCUAUAAAUUGUCAUCUUCUUUCAUCUCUAUGGCCGCCAACACCAAGUUCUAACCACUUAGGCAAAUUUCCAUCAACUUUUCUUUUAGCAUCAAUCUUAAACUUUACUACUAAAAACUUAGCUUCCUUUCUAACUUAGUCUUCCUUCAACAAGGAUAGGGUUGGGGUUUCAACAGUAAGAGUUACUUGCUUCAACUAAUAAGUCCAAGUAGCAAGGACCUAGGUCCUCCUCUUAAAUUAACCAACUUAUGAAACUUGCCUCUAAUAUAAACAUAAACAACAUCAAUUUAAAGCGUUAAAGGCUCACUGCACAAUGACUACACAUGACACUUCUAUCCUUCAAUAUAACACCACAACAUAAUGGGUAUUAAUAAUUUGAAAUAAAAACUCGAUGUGCAAUAAAAUUCUUCCAAGAGAAGCCAUAAAACUAAUCAGAAAGUAUCAACUAACCACAAAUUACAGUUUUCGCGAUGGCUCGCAAUAACAUAGGACAUUAAAGAGCCACCAUCAGUGGCGGUGAGGGGCACAAAGUUCAAACAGCAGACAUGAGCGGUGCGCCAAAACAAGGUUGACACUCGACGGCUGAAGUGGGACUUGAAGAACUCACAUGGUUGAACUCGACAGACGUGAACAAAGUUGAAGCGUGGAUAGAACUUUUAGCCGACGGUGGGUGACUGGUUGAAGGUGGAGGGCUUGCGGCAACUGCCAAAAAGGAGAAAAAGAAUAAGAGUAAUUUUUCUUUUUCUUCCUUUCCAAUACAACCUUAAUAACACACCCACACUAUCUUCUAAUUUAACCAAAUAAAUCACCCUUUUGAUAACCUACAUCCUCCCAAAUUAAUCCAAAAUUAAUCCAAAAUAAAAUCUCUUUAACUUUUAAAUUGAAUUCAAAUAAUUCGAAGAUAAUUAAACAAAAAUUACUUGAAAUUUUGGAAUGUAACAUCACAAUUAUUCUAACAUUUAGCAAUAUUCUAUUAUUAGAUUUUAGGAACAUUUUGACUUAUCUUUUUACCUUUUGAUAUUCUAUCUUAUCUUUUAAUUUCAUAGAAUAUUUUAAAAUUUUAAAAAAUAUACCACUUAUUAAUUUAUUAUGGAUUAUGGAAUAUUUUUUUAAUAUCAUUAAUUAUAUUAUCUCUCCUCUACAAAUUAUAAAAAUAUUUAGUUCUUUCCUUAUCAACUUUAUUUUUGAAAUUUUGACUUUGUUUUGUGUUAAUUAUUUAUUUUAGUUGAUAUUCAUUUAGUGCACGAUAUUCCAGUUAAUGUUUCCUCUGUUCUAGGAAAUUUUGUUUACAUUAAUUUAUUUAAUUUUUCUAGCUAAAAAUCUAUCUCUCCACUUAAAUGUCAACUAUAUGUCAAAUAUACUGACAAUACACUUAUAAAAGUAUAUAACACAUAUCAUAGCUAACGAAAAAAGCUAUAAUAGACUUUUUAUAGCCUUUUUUAAAAGUCUUGGCAGUCAUGUUAUUAAAAGUCUACAACUUUUUAUAGCGUUUUUUCGAAGCUAUAACGAGUGCUAUCGUAGAUUAUGAAGAUAUAGCUUAUAUGUGUUGCUACAAAAAUAUUUGAUAGCGUUUUUUAUUAGAGUUAUAAUAAGUUUAUGUAGCUUAAAUAAUGUGCUAUCUUUGACAUAUAAUAGCAUGUUUUCGACGCGAUAAUAUAGUAUUUAUAGCUUUAAUAUUAAGCUAUAAUAUAGUAUUUACAACUGUAAUAUUAAGCUAUAACAUAGUACUUGCAGAUGUAAUAUCAAGCUAUAAUAAUGCUAUUUAAUCGUUUUCAAUUAUUUUAAUAAUUAUAAUAACCUUAUGAUAGCAUUUCAUUUUUAGCUAUAUAAAUCUUUCUAUAACUUUAACUUAUGGGUACGAGAGUGAUAAUUUUUUUCUCAAAAAUAAAUUUUCAAUUAAUUAGCUUUUGAUAAAUUUUAGUUCAAGGAUCAAAUUUAGUUAAAUCUACACACAUAAAAUUACAAAAUAAAGUAUUUAAUAAUAUUCUUAACUAAAGUUGUGUUUAAAAUGAUACACGAAGGUAAAUAAAGUAUUUUGUAAAGAUACCAACACAAAUUAACCCACAAAAUUAAUACAAACAAAAUUCAAUAUAAGUGUUCACAGUUAUAUUGUAGGUAUGAACUAACUGUCAUCGUUGGUUUUUUAGUCCUUUGGUUAAGACACCAUUUCAUUCACCUACAUAAAUUUAUAAAAACAUAUAUCAAUGUAUGAUUAUGUAGACACUAAGAAUAGUGAAUAUUAAUUAAAUAAUUAUAGAAAAUCUUUAACAAAUGUGUACACAAAAAAUAUUAGAAAUAGAUAAUAUACCAAUAGUCACUUUAUCAUAUGGCCAUGCAACUGUACUUUCUAAAGCUUCUUCAAUACAUGUCAUUUCUGACGUUGGCCUCCAUAAAUAUGCAUUUGGUUUCUUUGCUACAUCAACCCAUACUCUACCUGCAUGUGGACCAAUAGGAACAUGGUUAACCAGAGCAGUUUGAUCAUUAGAAGACCAUCUUUCUUCUCCAACAAUCUCUUCUGAGCCAUACCAAUCCAAUAACUUGCACUUAAUUUGAGUGUUUGUUAUUGAUACUCUGUCAGAAGAUAAAUAUGAGAUACUAGAAUAAGAAAAUAAUGACAUCAUAAUACUUUUGAGAAAUAUUACAAAUAAAUUUACUGAUGGAGAAGACAUUGGACAAGUUAGAGGAAUAUUUAUUCGCUUAAUUAGCACACUUGCAGUAGCAUUUGAAAGUUCCUCACUUGGUUCUGCCUACAAUAAUCCCAUAUGAAACCAAAAAUAUAGUUAACUACUAAUAGGAAAAAAAAGAAUCUAAGUAAAAAAAAAAAAACUUGUUUCUUUAAAUAAGAUGACAUAAGUGCUUUGAUUUCUAUCAUUUUCUCUUUCAUUGCUUUCAUUGCUUUCAUUUGUUUCAACGAACAAUUAUUGUUGGUUUACAUAUUAUACUAAACUUUUUGUCCUUUUUUUUUGUUGUGUAAUUGUUCGUUGGAGAAUUUGUUUUGUUUGUGGAUAUGUCUUAUUGAAACAAAUAUAUGUAAUGCAGGAAAUGAAAAAUGAAAAAAGAAAAAUUUAGUAUAUUUAAUAUAUUAAUAAAUGGUAUACAUAACAGUCACAUAUACUAUCUUAUUUGAGUCAAAUAUACCAAUUUGCUUGAUGGAUAUAUAGUGUCAACUAUAAAAUGUCACUUGACAUAUACAUAAUGUCAAAUAUACUAUCUCACUUGACAGGUAAAUAGAGUCAAAUAUAUAUCUUACUCGACUUGUAAAUAGUAUCAAGUAUAUUAUCUCACUUGACAGGUAAAUAGAGUCAAGUAUAUAUUUUACUCGACGUGUAAAUAUUGUCAAGUAUAUUAUCUAACUUGACGUUAAAAAACCGUCAAACACAUUCUCUUUCUUGGCACGUAAACAACGUCAAAUAUACUAUCUUACUUGACACAAAAAUGAUGUCAAGCAAUAGAGUACUUGACGUUUUUUUAGUGUCAAGUAAUAGAACUAUACUUGACAGUCUAUUACUUGACGCUUUUUAAAACGUCAAAUAUAGAUUUACAUGACACUUUAUUAACGUCAAGUAAUUCAAUUUUUGUCGUAGUGAUUCCUUCAUCUUCAAAUAUUCUUUUUCCAAAACCUUGUACUUGUGAUCUUGUUGAGACAAAAGAGUUAGUCUUGAACGAGUCACACCAAAACCAAAUCCUCUAACAUGACCACGAUCAGGGCCAAGAACUUUACUCAAUGCAUCAUCAACCACGUUAGUGGUUGAAAUUGUUAUCACAUAUAUUAUUGUUUAUUUUUUAGCAUGUUUAUAUAUUGUCACAUCUCCUCCCAUAUCACUUUCUCUAGUUUCGAAAGGUGGCGGAAUGUCAACUGAAAUCAUUCUCCUUUGAAAUAAUACUAGUUGAACUCUUAACCUCAAAUCUUAAAACAAUUUGCAAGUGGAAGUCUUUAUACUUAUAGAAGACAAAACCGAGGUGUAGGCCACUUUCGAAAAUGAAUUUUUAUAAAUAUAAUGUUUUAGAGGAAAACAUAUAAAUCAUAAGGAUUAUAAGUUUUCACAACUCAUUAUGAAUUUAACAUGAUAACAUAUUUUAAUGUGGCAAUUUCUUUUCAUUAUCGUAAACUAAUUGGUCUAGCAAUAGUAAGUCCAACACUAGGAGAGUCACAAUUUGUACUUAAUAAGAGAGAAAACAUUUGAAAGAGCAAGUCAAAAGACUUAGUGAGCGACAGUUUAAUAAAACAAGUUUUCAUAAACAGUUUAUUACCAUAAUGUUAUCAAUAAAAUUGAUGAGAGGCGAUAAAAUGUUGUACUUCAGAGUUCAUUAUACGUUAAUAAAUUAAAUAUAGAAUUUAUUAAAGGAGUCUUUUAAAAAAUAUAAAAAAGCACACCAAAAUAUUUACAAGGUAUAAAACAAUUUCGAAAACGAAAAAACUCAAACGACUAACAAGAAAAAAUACAAAAAAUGUUUCAUCAUUAAUUGACAUCCAACAUUCAUAAUAUAUUUGGUAAACGAUGAUAUAAAUUUGACUAUUUCUUUCAACUAAUUUAGAUUUGACUAUUUCUUGUAUGGAUUUGACAGUUUAAAAGAUUUUUUUUCAACAUUUUUUGAUAUGAUGGUUUAAAUUUAGGUAACUAAAUCUAAAUGAUUUUUUAAAAAAGAAAUUGGUACACGAUCGUUUAGAUUUUGUAUAUAAUUGUUUAGAUUUGUUCAUUUCAAUUUUGGAUAGCCAAAUCUAAAAAGAAAUUAAGAUUUUUUUUUAAUCAUUUAGAUUUGUUAGACUAUCAUCUAGAUUUUAUCGUUUAAAUUUGAGACGAUUUUUUAAAUAGUUUUUUUUGUACACGAUCAUUUAGAUUUGGUUAUUUUUUUUUGUACAUGUUCGUUUAGAUUUGCUAUCAAAUAUUUCAAUAAUUUUUUUCACGAUCUUUUAUAUUUGAAACAACUAAAUAACAGUUUUAAAAAAAUUAUAAAAAAAUAGAUUUUUUAUAUAUAUCAGUAUACGAUCUUGAACCAAAUAAAAGAAAUAAAAGAAAAUAUGAAGAAGAAAAGAAAAGGACUAUGGAAAGAAGAAAAAUAGCAUAAGAAGAAGAGAAGAAAGAUAUGAAAAGGAAGAACAAACCUAAAAUAUUUGUUUAAAAUACGGUGAGUUUCAUGAAUUUUUUUUAUUUUGUUACCCCGUAAAUAUUUCGUUGAUUUGUUAUAUUUUUAUAGUAAAAUGUAUAGAUUUAGGUAUGUUGUAUUAAAAAGUAUCCGAGUAGAAGAAGAAAGCAUAUACUCGAAAAGAGUUAAAUCUUCCAAACAAGUUCUUAUUUCUUUCUCUCAAAUAUUCUAAAACAUUGAUAUGUGAAAGAGAAAAAAGUGUGUUUAAAACAUUAUACAUAACCGUUUUGCUAGUAUGCAAAAACAGUUUGUGUAUUAUUUAUAUAAUCUUUUUGAUGCUAUUACAUGUCUGGUAUUUCAUUUUAUAUAUGGGUAAUUAUUAAACAUAAACUUGUAGCCAGAUUGCCUCAAAAUACAAAAUGUAGUUUGAGUUGAGAAAAGAGAAUUUUAUGCACGGUCCAAAGUUGGAUUUGUGCAGCCAAGUGAAAACUUUGCUCGAACAAUACAACCUUUGAUCAGCAUCCCACGUUUUUCAUAGUUUGAGUAUUCCGUUACGCUGAACUUAACUAGGCCGGUACUGUUACAUCCAUCGUCAUUGAGAGUGAACUCGCCUACUGUGAGUUCAAAGAAAAUGCCUAUCGGCUUCCUCGCGAGGCUUACUUGGCUCUGUCUCGUUGACCCAUCUGGUGUGGUGAUUGUAACGUUCAAAGGAGUCUGCCAUCCGCCGGUAUUCUCAGUGAGCAAUACCAAUAAUGAUAACACGUUUAAGACUUUUGGUGUCACCAAUGGUGCGGAAAAUGCUCCACGUAUGUCAAGCUUUUGUAUUGCAAUCAGUUGAGGGGCAUCCACAGAAGUACUGAACGUUUUGUUUUUAUUAACAUAUAUAUAUAUAUAUAUAGAUAGAUAACAAUAUUAUUAAAUUGAAUUUCGGUUCUAGAAAUAAUUAACAAAGAAAAAAACAUACAUAUGGUCCGUGAUGUAGAUCCAUUUCCAGUAUCGGGGAUCAUUAACCCCGAAAAUAGUGAGAAUUUUUGGUAAUAUGAAGAGUCGAUUAGUGUUUGUUUCGAGAUUAAUUCUGAAUUUCUGAAAGCAUUCAACAAAAUUAAUAAUCAAAACUCAAUUAUAUAUACAUACAUAUAUAUAUUUAUUAGCAUAUUAGAUUAUAGAAUAAAUCAAUAUAUUAAAUUUAAGCAGACACUUACGAUAGUUCCAUUGCAGAGGGAGAUGCCACGUUGAGAUAGUUGAUUGCAAAGAGGAAGGAAGGUUGGCCACUCGACUCCAGCUUGGUCGUCUGCGAGGGCUAAAAUUGUUUCUAAGCAAUGGUCAUACUCAAGUUUUUUUACCAAAUGCUGUUUUGCUUCCGCUUCCGUAGUCAUUUCAACCCUCAAUUAAUUACCUUUGAUAAAUCAACUAUAUAUAUAUAUA